This 772-nucleotide long non-coding RNA is filed under the name Heterocephalus glaber (naked mole-rat). RNAcentral's name for it is "lncRNA (ENSHGLG00100049267.1)". The record is from RNAcentral. Lineage: Eukaryota; Metazoa; Chordata; Mammalia; Rodentia; Bathyergidae.
CCCGGCCGCCGGCUUCCUUUUGCUCUUUCCGGGCGGCGAUGAGCGCGCAGGACCCGCGCGGAGGCUGCGGGCGCACAGGAGCCCGCGCUCCUAGCCACCUCUCAGGCCUCGGGAAGGAAGCCGGAGUGAGAUUGCGUUCUGCCCCGGACCGCCCAGGAAACCUCUGGAUUUGCCUGUCUGGACUUUGGAGGGUGAAUGGAACCACGGACUCAGUGCCUUCUGCAUGUGGCCACUGUGCUGAGCAUAAGAUCCCAAGCUCUCCAGCCCUCUGGACUCUGCAGCAGACUGAAAAGAAUCUCCUGUUCUUUCUUGCCAACUGCUAAGCCCUUUAAAGGGGCAUGGUCUAGCCACUCACUGCACCGCCCCAGCCCGGAGCCUCUGACCCUCGCCGUGUCUGGUUCUCCGCCGGCAGCAGGUAGGUGGACUUCGGCGAUGGGCCUGCCAGCCGGGGAGGAGCGGAGGGGUGGCUUCCGCCCCAUGGUGGGUCUUUGGUCCAGCUCUGCAGAAAGAGCAGGGGACGCUACGGUGAGCACCAGGCUACCCAGCACGCCUGGGGCACAGGUCGGGAAACUGAGGCUUGGAGCUGGCCCUGGAUGGGUCGGUUCUGGGUCUUUCUGGGUGGAUUGUGCGAUUCGUGGAGCCUCUGCCUGGGGACCUGUUAGCGUCACACUACCUUAGUUUCAGUGGUGGUGGGCGGAGGGGCACAGGCAGGGGCAAGUGCCAGGCUCCUGCUGCAGGCCCAGCUGCUUUCCUGCAGGGCGCCUCUGCGACC